Molecule: ribosomal RNA, 1247 nt
Filed under: bacterium
Lineage: Bacteria
Description: bacterial SSU rRNA
Rfam family: Bacterial small subunit ribosomal RNA
Source: RNAcentral
CCCAAUGCAGCAUGCUAUACUGCAGUCGAACGCUUUUUCUUUCCCGGAGCUUGCUCCACCGAAAGAAAAAGAGUGGCGAAUGGGUGAGUAACACGUGGGUGACCUGCCCAUCAUAAGGGGAUAACACUUGGAAACAGGUGAUAAUACCGUAUAACACUAUUUUCCGCAUGGAAGAAAGUUGAAAGGCGCUUUUGCGUCACUGAUGGAUGGACCCGCGGUGCAUUAGCUAGUUGGUGAGGUAACGGCUCACCAAGGCCACGAUGCAUAGCCGACCUGAGAGGGUGAUCGGCCACACUGGGACUGAGACACGGCCCAGACUCCUACGGGAGGCAGCAGUAGGGAAUCUUCGGCAAUGGACGAAAGUCUGACCGAGCAACGCCGCGUGAGUGAAGAAGGUUUUCGGAUCGUAAAACUCUGUUGUUAGAGAAGAACAAGGAUGAGAGUAAAACGUUCAUCCCUUGACGGUAUCUAACCAGAAAGCCACGGCUAACUACGUGCCAGCAGCCGCGGUAAUACGUAGGUGGCAAGCGUUGUCCGGAUUUAUUGGGCGUAAAGCGAGCGCAGGCGGUUUCUUAAGUCUGAUGUGAAAGCCCCCGGCUCAACCGGGGAGGGUCAUUGGAAACUGGGAGACUUGAGUGCAGAAGAGGAGAGUGGAAUUCCAUGUGUAGCGGUGAAAUGCGUAGAUAUAUGGAGGAACACCAGUGGCGAAGGCGGCUCUCUGGUCUGUAACUGACGCUGAGGCUCGAAAGCGUGGGGAGCGAACAGGAUUAGAUACCCUGGUAGUCCACGCCGUAAACGAUGAGUGCUAAGUGUUGGAGGGUUUCCGCCCUUCAGUGCUGCAGCAAACGCAUUAAGCACUCCGCCUGGGGAGUACGACCGCAAGGUUGAAACUCAAAGGAAUUGACGGGGGCCCGCACAAGCGGUGGAGCAUGUGGUUUAAUUCGAAGCAACGCGAAGAACCCUUACCAGGUCUUGACAUCCUUUGACCACUCUAGAGAUAGAGCUUCCCCUUCGGGGGCAAAGUGACAGGUGGUGCAUGGUUGUCGUCAGCUCGUGUCGUGAGAUGUUGGGUUAAGUCCCGCACGAGCGCAACCUUUAUGUAGUGCCAUCAUUUAGUGGCACUCUAGCGAGACUGCGUGACAACCGGAGGAAGGUGGGAUGACGUCAAUCAUCAUGCCCUUAUGACUGGCUAACACUGCUACAUGGAAGUUACACACGAGUUUGGCAAGUUCCCAGAGGCCUAGGCU